ACACUGCAAUGGGCUCUGAAGGGCAUAUGUCAAAGCAUCUGACUGCAGCUCACUCUAGCUGCAGGAGGUGGAUUCCCCUUCUGCAGGACUAACACCCGAAUCUGGCUGCAAGGCAGAGGAUGUGCAAGCGCUCUGCAUGAGAGCAUCACCAGUUCCUUACUGUGAGUUCACCCAUAGCCAGCAAGGUAAGCAGUGCUGAAACACGGGAUUAGAGAGCAAACUGUGCUACAGGAACGCCAACCCAUGCUCCACGUGGAGGGACAACGAUCCCAGAACAGUUGUAUAAAUCCCACGUUUAUUUAUUUUGUCAUGUUUGUAAACGCACAAUGUUUUUGAACUAUGAGUUGUUACAUAGUGAAAGGAUGCUGUCCUGCAUUCUGUAGGCUGUCCGAACUCUUGAUACAGUUUUCUUGAUGGCCAAAUUAAGGACAUAAAAACACAGUUCUCCAAAUCACCUCGUUCUGAGCACUGAAUGCUUCUGAGCUUGAAACCAAAACAUUAAACCCAGCCUUCCUCUUCCUUCUGGGAGACGGGGUGGGGAUGCUCACCUUGCCUUUAAACCAUCCAUAGCUCAGUGCUUUGGGCUGGCAGCUCUUUGUAUGUUUGAGCUCCAAGACAGCACUAUGAGAACAGCCUAUUGCAGAAGGUGCCCCAUGCAAAAUGCUUUCCUCCCGUUCAGUAAUAAACCACAGGACAAACAUCAUCAGCAAUAACAGUGAAAGGCCCGCCGUGAGAAGGGGUAGGAUUUCACUGGAUUUCCUGAGCAGUCUGCUCUGUAUGUUUGGUGCAGGAUUAAAAAUGAUGUUACAGGUAGUCAGUGGGGCAUCUAUCUGAUGAAAUCCACCUGGUUAUGGAAGCUGAGAUUUAAACUUCUGCAGAACUCCAUUGCUAUUGUAAGGGAGAAGGGAAAGCCUGCCCUGCACCCUGCAGCACUCCACAUAGAGUCGUAGGACGGUUUGGGUUGGAAGGGAUUUGAUGGUCACACCUUCCCCCAUUGACUGCUGGCUUCUUCUCCUUCCCUGGUAGCAGGCUGGUGUCCUGCAGGCUCACAGGUCACUGCAAGGAGGUGGUUCCCUUCCUCACUGUUGCCUCGACAUCUCAGCCAGGUCUUCCAGAGAAGUGAGACCAGCUGUUGGAUUUGCCACCAAAUAAAGUUCCAGAUGAAAAUCGUUUCCCAUAAGAUUGCAGGAUUCCAGGGUUCAAGCCAUUCAAUCACAAGUGUCUUGAAUGGCUGAUGUCUCUGUGUGGGAGCAAGCUGCUUGUACUGAUGAGACAGUUUGUGGUGGACCUGACUAGAAGAAAUGAAGUCUUCAAGGGAGAUGGAAGAAUACUGGAAUGGAGGCAGGCAAUGGUAGACUGCUCAGAUGUGGACCCAUAACACCUCUUCACCUGCAGCAUCAGAGUAAAAAUGAGUCUUUUGCUACCCUCAGGGAUGCUGUUGCCUGGAGGCACAGAGCUUGGAUACUGCCCACUGAUGUUCCCAGGCAUAUCUGUUGAAGUAUCUGUUGCUAUUUGACUGGAGAGUUUCAGGGGAGUGAGCAAACCUUUUUUUCCAAGCUGUUUGCAAGCCAAGAGCAUUCUGGAAAGAUUUGCCCAUUCCUGUCUCACUGUGCUGGCUUUGCAGAGGCCAUCUUGGUGUGUGGGAAUGAUCCCUCGGUACACACAGUGGAAAAGAAGCAGUUCUUCCUGUGAGUCUCCCUCUGCUUUCCUCUGCUGCUCGUUAUUUUUUGGGUGCUUGCAUAUCUUUCCAUCCAUCCGUCCUUUUGUCCAUCCAUCGGUCCAUCCAUCAAUUCAUUAGUCCGUCCAUUCAUCCGUCUGCCUGUCUACUUGUCCAUCCAUCUGUUUGUCUGUCCAUCCAUCCAUCUGCCUAUCCAUCCAUCCACCUCUCCAUCCAUCUGUCUGUCCGUCCAUCUGCCCAACGCCUGUCCAUUUGUCCGUCCAGCUGUCCCUCUGUCCAUCCAUCCAUCCCCACCCAUCCGUCCAUUCAUUCGUCUCUCCAUCCACAUAUCCAUCCUUUCAUCCCUUUGUCCAUCUGUCCGUCCAUCCGUCCGUCUGUCCAUCCAUCCGCACGGGCUGCCAGCGCUGGGAAGGGCUCCACGGGCCUGCCAAGGCCAGAUGGUGUUUGUGAGGAGCUCCAGGUCCCAGCUGAGCGCUGCCCGGCGAGAUGCACGCAGGAGCUGCCGGGCAGCCGGCUCUGCCAAACCCUCGGCAUAUGCUGCGCCCAGCCCUACACCUGCUGGUGGGCAGCCGCUGUGCGCUGCCGGCGUAAAGCAAGGAGGAAAAGCACAGCCCCAUCUGGAAGGAAUUUAACGGAUAAACAGCAGCGGUGAAACCCCCAAAAAUUAAAAAAAAAAAAAAGUGUAAAAUUGAAGAAUGUGCAGAGGGAGUCGGAAACGGCGGGGGGAGACGCCACGGUGCUGGGCUGAGAUGGCCAAGGAAUGCCCACGUUUGCACCAGCACCCCAGUUUUCACCAGGACCCCCAUUUGCCCGUGCACAGCCCCACCACCCCAGCUAAAUGUGCUGAGAAUUGCUGGGGGAUAUUUGGAGAAAACCCCAAAUGGCUGCGAGCAAAAUUGAUGGGGGAAUAGACUUCCUGCCUACUUUGUAUUUACUUUAAAACCGUGCACACUCCAGGCUCGAGCCUGUAAUUUAUUGAAAGGAACCAGACUGGAAACCAGAUUCACACUGUGAGUAAUUUCCAACAUCAUUGCCAUCUAUCACCGGGAGACAGGGCACUUUGUUUCUCUGAAAAAUUAUUUUUGUAGUUGGCUUAGUAACAACAACAAUUAUUAUUAUUAAUAUUAAUAACUACUUGUGUAAGGCCUUUCAUGUGCUGUUUAGAAAGGGUUCUGCACAUGGGACAGUUGUGUUGGCUGCGCCUCUUGGGAAGGGAAAACAAGACACAGACUUGGCCCCUGCCUUGCUCAGGGGGGCAGAAUCCUUUUCUGCUAGUUCGCUGUGCUGGAUGGGUAAGACUUCUGUUCUGCCUGUCCUGGAGCUUUGUUCUUGCUGAGAGCAGAGGCACAUCAGCAGCUCCAGUGAUGGGUUGUGCCUCCUGGCAGGCCCAGAAGUGUGGUACAGCAUGAGUUUUCCCCUCUGCUGUUCUCCAGGCUGCAUCUCUACAGCACGUCCAACCCAGCGUUGGGAAGCCUCUUAGAGCCCAGCGUUGCCACCCCUUCCCAGUGGGUAUCUCCCAGCAUCACCAUCGAUGUGCUGCUCUCCUUAACAAAGGGCCAACUCUAACCCAGAAUCUACAUCUGACCAGGCUUUGCUGUUGAGGUGGAGGAAGCUCAGAAACACUGAGCUUCUGCCAUUGCUCUUCUUCCUCCCUUCCCUCUUCUGAGCCCCUCUCCAGGCCCCAUCCACCUGCCAGCAUCCCUAGAGGCCAAGCUGAGCAUCACUCCAUGGACCUGACCCCACUGCCAGCCCGUGCUGCCAUUCAGACGGCUGAAGUCAAAUUAGGGUCAGAUUUUGGGUAGUUCUGUCUGGAGCCAGGAGUUGGGUUCAGUGCUGCUUAUGGAUUCCUUCCAACUCAGGAUAUUCUGUGAUUUAAUGAUUCAAGCUGUCCGCACCAUGACAUUACAUAAAGGGCUCAGAGGAGGGCUGGGAUCCACGAGGCCAUGCAGAAGAUGGGAUCCUCUGUGGCUUUUCUUCCCAGGGAAGGCUUUCGGGAGAGUUCUGCACCCUCUGAAGUGGGGAACGGCGCAAUCACCUCCUCAGAGAACUGCACAAGGAGCAACGGUCGUUUUCCAGUUAAGCUAUGGGCUGUGCUAAGGCAGACGGGGAAAGAGGGCGCUGGCUGACACUGCAGCAGGAAGAUGUGCAGGUCUAUGGACCACAGCAGUGAUGUCUCUUCUCCCACGUCCUUCAGACAUCUCCCCUUCCCCACGGCUGCACCGCAGGGUGCGCUGGGACAGGAGUAGGACCUCUGCCCUGUAAGCAGCAUCCGUGCUCCUUGCAGUAGGGCCUGCAGAUUCAGCGUUGACAGGGGUUGCUUCGAAUGUAACAGGAUCCCGCGUCAGAUGUAAAUCAGACUGCAGGCAUUUGCCUCGUGUUUCAUGAAGGAGGUCAGUGUGGGGGUUUGCCUGUGAAAACGUGGGUGAGGGGCUGCCAGCGUCACCAGGCAAAGCUGGGUGCUCCCUCGGUGGUGCUUUGCAAACCAAGCGUGGGCAGCACAGCCAUCUUCUGCCAUCCUUUGGACCUCCCGUGGCCUCUGCAUCGUGCUGACACCCUGCUGAGGCUGUCAGGAGCUGUACUGCAGCCCAGGAGCUCUGCACGAGGAGGCUGGUCCUGCAAAGCAGAGCACUCUGCGUCUCACUUGCAGGUGGGCAGUGAGGGCUCCCAGAGAGGGCUGUCGGCAUGCUGUGGGUUCAGGUUCUUCAGAAGCUCUGGGUGUUGCUUCGUGCUUCACACGGAGCCUUUGAAGCCAGCCUGAGCUCCAAGCCAUCUCCUAAUUGCUUUUCCUUUAUCAGACAGACUUUCAACGAACUUCACGAAAGGUGUUUGAGGCCAGAGCAGCCCCAUAGGCUGCCAAAUGACAGGCGCUGCUGGGGGCGACUGGGUGAGCCCUGUUUUUUAAAUGUAAAGA
This is a long non-coding RNA of Centrocercus urophasianus (Greater sage-grouse), 4589 nucleotides long. RefSeq lists it as uncharacterized. The transcript has 6 exons. Lineage: Eukaryota; Metazoa; Chordata; Aves; Galliformes; Phasianidae. The record is from RefSeq and is a predicted model, not a curated record.